GAGGUGAGCGAGCUUGUAGAAUAAUGCUAGGUCCAUAAUCUCCUGCUCAACUUUGCCAAGACGGAGGAAAUGAUUGUGGAUUUCAGAAGAUCCUAGGAACCAUAAGACAUAACCUCCCUGACCAAGAAGGCCAUGCGGCAAACUCAAUUCCUGUGGUGCUUCACACAGGACAGACUGCCACCUCCCAUCCUGUCCACGUUUUACAGAGGCAUCAUCAAGAGGGUCCUUGCAAACUGUGUCAUGGCCUGGUUCAGGUUCUACAAUGCCUCAGAUCACCAGGUCCUCUAGUAGGCCAUGAACACAGCAGUGAAGAUUGCUAGGACCACACUGCCUUCUCUAUGAAACAUCUGUACUGACUGUUGCCUACAGACCCUUACGAAACAAAAAUAUAUUGUAAUGUAUGAAAAAUGUACUGCAAUAUAUUAAACAGUAUAUUGUAAUAUA
Non-coding RNA from Paramormyrops kingsleyae, 444 nucleotides. NCBI's taxonomy places the organism in Eukaryota, Metazoa, Chordata, Actinopteri, Osteoglossiformes, Mormyridae. The record is from RefSeq and is a predicted model, not a curated record.